This 469-nucleotide ribosomal RNA is filed under the name uncultured bacterium. RNAcentral's name for it is "bacterial SSU rRNA". It matches the Rfam family "Bacterial small subunit ribosomal RNA", at positions 334 to 793 of the family's 1533-position model. The record is from RNAcentral.
CACUCCUACGGGAGGCAGCAGUGGGGGAAUAUUGCACAAUGGGCGCAAGCCUGAUGCAGCCAUGCCGCGUGUGUGAAGAAGGCCUUCGGGUUGUUAAAGCACUUUCAGUCGUGAGGAAGGUAGUGUAGUUAAUAGCUGCAUUAUUUGACGUUAGCGACAGAAGAAGCACCGGCUAACUCCGUGCCAGCAGCCGCGGUAAUACGGAGGGUGCGAGCGUUAAUCGGAAUUACUGGGCGUAAAGCGCAUGCAGGUGGUUUGUUAAGUCAGAUGUGAAAGCCCGGGGCUCAACCUCGGAAUAGCAUUUGAAACUGGCAGACUAGAGUACUGUAGAGGGGGUAGAAUUUCAGGUGUAGCGGUGAAAUGCGUAGAGAUCUGAAGGAAUACCGGUGGCGAAGGCCGGCCCCCUGGACAGAUACUGACACUCAGAUGCGAAAGCGUGGGGAGCAAACAGGAUUAGAUACCCUGGUAG